Molecule: non-coding RNA, 119 nt
Organism: Plasmodium malariae
Lineage: Eukaryota; Apicomplexa; Aconoidasida; Haemosporida; Plasmodiidae
Source: Rfam
UCCACAUGAUGAGAAAAGAAAACGGCAACACUUUAACUUAUAUUACUUUUAAUCUUUUAAAAGAAAAUAUAUAUAAAGUGGGUGAGCGUCAUAAGUGAGUAGUUUUCAAUCUGAUAGGG